Gambusia affinis (western mosquitofish) is the source of this 540-nucleotide long non-coding RNA. RefSeq lists it as uncharacterized. The transcript has 3 exons. The record is from RefSeq and is a predicted model, not a curated record. NCBI's taxonomy places the organism in Eukaryota, Metazoa, Chordata, Actinopteri, Cyprinodontiformes, Poeciliidae.
CUGCUCAACAAUCUGGGAAGGGUUCAAGAAAUGUAAAGACCCGAGUGAAUUUGUUUUUGGUUGAAACAUUUUUGUUUUUCAUUCAGACUCCAUAGUUUAAGUACUGUCAACAAUGUCUUCCAAUAAAACAUCAUAAUCAGGUCAGAUUUUCAAAAAUGUUUUAACAUAAACAUGGUGGACCUCCCUAAUGUGAACUACAUGAAGCUCCAAACUGGGCCGAGACCAGAACAAUGAUCAACACAUCUACACCAGAAUGCCUGAAAGAGACAGAAAUCAAGACAACGCAGUGGCCUAGUCAAAGUCCACACAAAAUCUCUGCAAUGAACUGAAGAAAAGUCCUGAUUCAUUUGGCAGCGUAGCCGUGAUGUAAGCUGCCGCUUUAAAGAGAGAGGAGGACAUGAUGGGAAUGGAAAAAGACAGAACAUGCAUGAGUGACUGCAUGUUUCAAACAAAUCAGCUUUGGCACAAACAAAACACGAGAUCCUUCCUCAGCAGCCUGAGCAGACGCACCGGAAUGGGCUGAAAUGUGAGCUCACAACU